AUUGAACGCUGGCGGCAUGCCUUACACAUGCAAGUCGAACGGCAGCACGGGUGCUUGCACCUGGUGGCGAGUGGCGAACGGGUGAGUAAUACAUCGGAACAUGUCCUGUAGUGGGGGAUAGCCCGGCGAAAGCCGGAUUAAUACCGCAUACGAUCCACGGAUGAAAGCGGGGGACCUUCUGGCCUCGCGCUAUAGGGUUGGCCGAUGGCUGAUUAGCUAGUUGGUGGGGUAAAGGCCUACCAAGGCGACGAUCAGUAGCUGGUCUGAGAGGACGACCAGCCACACUGGGACUGAGACACGGCCCAGACUCCUACGGGAGGCAGCAGUGGGGAAUUUUGGACAAUGGGCGAAAGCCUGAUCCAGCAAUGCCGCGUGUGUGAAGAAGGCCUUCGGGUUGUAAAGCACUUUUGUCCGGAAAGAAAUCCUUGGCUCUAAUACAGUCGGGGGAUGACGGUACCGGAAGAAUAAGCACCGGCUAACUACGUG
RNAcentral lists this ribosomal RNA (486 nucleotides) under uncultured bacterium. RNAcentral describes it as "partial 16S ribosomal RNA". It matches the Rfam family "Bacterial small subunit ribosomal RNA", at positions 30 to 507 of the family's 1533-position model. The record is from RNAcentral.